GGCCAUAUAGCUCAGUGGUUAAGAGCUCCCAAGGUCUAAGACUAUCAGGUGGUCCCAAGUUCAAUCCUUGGUGUGGUCA
Molecule: non-coding RNA, 79 nt
Organism: Termitomyces sp. T159_Od127
Lineage: Eukaryota; Fungi; Basidiomycota; Agaricomycetes; Agaricales; Lyophyllaceae
Source: the annotation of a GenBank genome assembly